AGCCGGGCACCAGUAACCUGCAAGAGACCAGCAAGGGCAGAGGCAGGGAGGGAGAGAGGUGGGCAGAGGAGAGAGAAAGAGAGAGAGAAAGAGGAGAGAGAGGAGAGAGAGCGAGAGAGGGAGAGAGAGAGGGAUAUAGGUGGGCAGAGGAGAGGGAGAGAGAGAGAGGGAGAGAGAGAGGUGGGCAGAGGGAGAGAGAGAGAGAGGUGGGCAGAGGAGAGAGAGGGAGAGAGAGAGGUUGGCAGAGGAGAGAGAGAGAGAGAGAGGUGGGCAGAGGAGAGAGAGAGAGAGAGAGGUGGGCAGAGGAGAGAGAGAGGUGGGGAAACCAGGGA
Molecule: long non-coding RNA, 332 nt
Organism: Clupea harengus (Atlantic herring)
Lineage: Eukaryota; Metazoa; Chordata; Actinopteri; Clupeiformes; Clupeidae
Source: Ensembl